This 204-nucleotide RNase P RNA is filed under the name gamma proteobacterium symbiont of Ctena orbiculata. RNAcentral's name for it is "partial RNase P RNA component class A". It matches the Rfam family "Bacterial RNase P class A", at positions 1 to 208 of the family's 367-position model. From Rfam's summary of the family: Ribonuclease P (RNase P) is a ubiquitous endoribonuclease, found in archaea, bacteria and eukarya as well as chloroplasts and mitochondria. Its best characterised activity is the generation of mature 5'-ends of tRNAs by cleaving the 5'-leader elements of precursor-tRNAs. Cellular RNase Ps are ribonucleoproteins. Lineage: Bacteria; Pseudomonadati; Pseudomonadota; Gammaproteobacteria. The record is from RNAcentral.
GGAGUCGGCCGGACAGCCGCUGUGUCGCAAUCGGCACAGAGGAAAGUCCGGGCUCCGACGGGCAGGGUGCCAGGUAACGCCUGGGGGGCGCAAGCCUACGGAAAGUGCCACAGAAAAUAUACCGCCAGCGGCGGCUGCCGUUGGUAAGGGUGAAAUGGUGCGGUAAGAGCGCACCGCGCCGCUGGCAACAGCGGCGGCAGGGUA